AGUGAACGCUGGCGGUAGGCCUAACACAUGCAAGUCGAACGGCAGCACAGUAAGAGCUUGCUCUUACGGGUGGCGAGUGGCGGACGGGUGAGGAAUACAUCGGAAUCUACUUUUUCGUGGGGGAUAACGUAGGGAAACUUACGCUAAUACCGCAUACGACCUACGGGUGAAAGCAGGGGAUCUUCGGACCUUGCGCGAUUGAAUGAGCCGAUGUCGGAUUAGUUAGUUGGCGGGGUAAAGGCCCACCAAGGCGACGAUCCGUAGCCGGUCUGAGAGGAUGAUCAGCCACACUGGAACUGAGACACGGUCCAGACUCCUACGGGAGGCAGCAGUGGGGAAUAUUGGACAAUGGGCGCAAGCCUGAUCCAGCCAUACCGCGUGGGUGAAGAAGGCCUUCGGGUUGUAAAGCCCUUUUGUUGGGAAAGAAAAGCAGCAGGUUAAUACCCCGCUGUUCUGACGGUACCCAAAGAAUAAGCACCGGCUAACUUCGUG
RNAcentral lists this ribosomal RNA (492 nucleotides) under uncultured bacterium. RNAcentral describes it as "partial 16S ribosomal RNA". It matches the Rfam family "Bacterial small subunit ribosomal RNA", at positions 29 to 507 of the family's 1533-position model. The record is from RNAcentral.